RNAcentral lists this ribosomal RNA (760 nucleotides) under uncultured bacterium. RNAcentral's name for it is "bacterial SSU rRNA". It matches the Rfam family "Bacterial small subunit ribosomal RNA", at positions 1 to 752 of the family's 1533-position model. The record is from RNAcentral.
UUACGCGCGAUCGCCUUGAGUUUGAUCUGGCUCAGGACGAACGCUGGCGGCGUGCUUAACACAUGCAAGUCACGGGGGGGUCGCAAGACCUAACCGGCGAACGGGUGCGUAACACGUGAACAACCUGCCCUCGUGUGGGGGAUAGCCGGGCUAACGCCCGGGUAAUACCGCAUACGUUCUCGUGGAGGAGUCUCCGGGAGAGGAAAGCGCCGGCAACGGCGUGCACGGGGAGGGGUUCGCGGCCUAUCAGCUAGUUGGUGCGGUCACGGCGCACCAAGGCGACGACGGGUAGCUGGUCUGAGAGGAUGGCCAGCCACAUUGGGACUGAGAGACGGCCCAGACUCCUACGGGAGGCAGCAGUGGGGAAUCUUGCGCAAUGGUCUAACGACUGACGCAGCGACGCCGCGUGUGGGAGGACGCCUUUCGGGGUGUAAACCACUGUUGCCCGGGACGAACUCGCGUAUUUGUACGCGUUGACGGUACCGGGUGAGGAAGCACCGGCUAACUCCGUGCCAGCAGCCGCGGUAAUACGGAGGGUGCGAGCGUUGUCCGGAAUCAUUGGGCGUAAAGGGCGCGUAGGUGGCCCGGUCAGUCCGUGGUGAAAGCGCGGGGCUCAACCCUGCGUCGGCCAUGGAUACUGCCGCGGCUCGAGCACUGUAGAGGCAGGCGGAAUUCCGGGUGUAGCGGUGGAAUGCGUAGAGAUCCGGAAGAACACCGGUGGCGAANGCGGCCUGCUGGGCAGUUUAGCUGACACUGAGGU